GGGAAUUCUAAGCAACAAAAUAGGCUGCCUCCUAGUAAUUAACACGCAUGCAUUAAUCGAGGAGGCAAACGAACGCCAAGACCCAACGCCGCCCACUCAAUCGAUCUCCUCUCAGUACCCAAUCCACCCAACGCCGCUUCCCCGCCGCCUCGGCUCCGGCCAUCCAUGGCUCCGGCUGGGCCGCACCACCAAGCGCGUCUCCUUGCAGUCCCCGAGCACCCGCCGCCCCCAAUCCAUGGAGGGAGGGCCUCACCUUCACCCCAUCCCAACUUCUCCUCGGUCUAGGUAGACGGCCACGGUGAAGAUGUGGGGACGAUUAGGUCGCCAAUCCGACCUCCAGGCUCCAGCUCCAGCUCCAGGGGGAGCCCCGCCCGCAAAUGCGACCACAGGUUGGGGCGGAGUUGCAUCCGUCGUCCUGGUGGCUGGUGUCGACUAGCAGUGCGGGCGACGGCCUCGGCGGGCGGGAGAAGUUCGCUGCGGUGCAGGCAUGGUGCAGCGAGACGUGGAGGGCACCCUGCUGGUCGCCUUCCCGGAGCUACUGGUGGCGUCCAUGGGGGGCUGCUGUCGGCGUCUUGCAGCGAUUACCUCCGCGAUCUCCUUCUUCUAGCCACCAUGUCCGCAACCCACUGCUGCCAGCCACGUCAACGACAUGCUUCUUCUCGAUCUGCUCGGGUCAUUCCAGAGCUGCUAGAUGCAUUAUUCAGCAACCUGCGCCCGUUUUUGAUUCCAUGUACUAGGCUGGAUCUCACCGUGGAUCAAGGACUGCUUGGAUGCAUCGGCAAGCAACGAUGCACAUCAUAAGCCACAAGGACUAGGCUGGAUGUCUAAAUCAUUUUGGUAGUGGCUGCUGCACUGUCCUGGUGCCGAGAUAAAGGAGCCUUCAAGGCUUGAGGCUGUAUAAUAGGAAGGUGUUGGCUACUCUUAUGAAUGAGAAUGAACACCAGCUGGUUGUUGAGGAGAACGCUGCGCAUUUGUGGCAACAGAUAAUUUGGCAACUAAAUAGUUCAGCCAUGGGAAAGGAGAAGUCUCACACUAACAUUGUGGUCACUAGCCAUGUCGACUCUUGUAAGUCGACCGCAAUUGGCCAUCUAGUUCAAGAAGUUAGCCGUCGAGACCUGUUAGCACCCUCUUUGUGUGCUCACUCGUGGAGUGAUGUGGAUGAUCUGUUGCUGCAAUAAGGUUCUGCCUGGUCUGGUGCAGGCGGGGGUUAUUCGGCUUGGCAGGUUCUGCCUGGUCUGGUACAACCUCUAUGAAGAAGGGCGCAUCAGAUGGACUGCAUCCCUGCUCCUAGUGGCCUCUAUACAUACUUUCGCCGGCCCACACAUGCAACAAAGGCACUUAUGUUGACCAGGGUGUGGCGGGGUCUGUCAGGAACUCCGAUACUUGCCGGUGUAUGAAAAAACAUAUGAGGACAACUUGACAGCCAUUCUCGUGCAACAAUCUUUUUCACUAGUUCUAUUUGGUACCCCCUCUGACUCAUGCACCGUGGCUCCAACAUGACACCAUGUGGUGGCCUUUGAUGCCGGACCUACCUCGGCCGCUUCUGUUUGUCCGGUGCUCAAGCCACCGGUCCAACCACUUGGGUCAGGUCAGGGGAUGAGCGCUGGGUGCCAGGAUGCCGCCUCUACUGGGUUGCUUCGUCGAUUGUUGCAGCUUAGAGAUUCAUGCUUCCUUAUUGGUGGAAAGCUUGAGAUAGAGUUUUGUCGGCUUGUAUUUGAGAGUUCACUUCUAGGUCAGAUAAAUGGAUUCUCUUGGUGUAUGAUUGAAAUGCACUCCGCUUUACCGCAGCUCGAUGAAUGUACAUCCUUAUUUGGCGUCUUUUGAUUGGCAUGGAGGGAUGACCAAAUCAUCUGGAGCGUCCUCGUGCUUCUAAUUGGAGCGGUUGGUGGUGUCGACCUUGCCAGCGAAGAAGAUGGAGUUUGACGGGGAGGAUGUGUGGAGCACCGCUCAAUCAAUAUGGGGCUCAAGGAAAUCGUCAAGCUGGCUUCUUGUUGAAAGGAAGGCUAGUUGCUUCGGUAGAUUACCACACACAAGUCUAUUCACUUGUAUCAGAUAACAUGUAUGCCUGAUUAUGUAUAUAGAUCCAGAUAUACAAUGUGUAUCUACUUGUGUACUUUGACUAGCUAGUGCUGCUGCACUUAAUUCCCUUAUGACUAUCCUUAUUUUUCCAUGUUGCCAUGCAAUCGUUAAUGUCUAGAAAUCUGCCCAUAUCAUGUUGCCUAAAGCAUCCCUUUGGAGCUGGAAGACCAUCGGGUACAAGGAGACGUCGUCAUAUGCCCGCCGUAGGAAUGAUAGCAAUGUGUUUGGGAUUGAUUGCAGAAACUUCCCCUCCGUGCACCAGCACGUUUUCUUGAUGUUGGUUGUUCGGUGUCCUGGGGUUGCUGUUUGGUGGUAUAUAUUUGUAUGCCUGAAUGUCAUUUGAGAUCUGUGCUUUAUGCACUUUAGUAUCUCUUGAAGUAUAGGUUUUUACCGUGUAUCUAAAAACAGAGUAUGCCAAGCUGAAAUUUGGAAUUAAUUUUGAUUGAUUAAUUACCACUUUUUCUGCCAGUCUUUUACAACU
Molecule: long non-coding RNA, 2560 nt
Organism: Lolium perenne
Lineage: Eukaryota; Viridiplantae; Streptophyta; Magnoliopsida; Poales; Poaceae
Source: RefSeq, a predicted model, not a curated record